Molecule: long non-coding RNA, 5826 nt
Filed under: Capsicum annuum
Lineage: Eukaryota; Viridiplantae; Streptophyta; Magnoliopsida; Solanales; Solanaceae
Description: long non-coding RNA (CANN_LNC020519)
Source: RNAcentral
CCAUAACAAAUCAAAAGUAAAAAGAGCAAGAUUCCUCAAAGAUUAGUCCGGAAUCAAAAUAUGUCAAGAAACUAAAAAAAAGUAUCAAUCUAUGCCAUAUAAAAAAAAUAUCAAAAGAGGCUUUGUGCACUUAAUAAGUGCACAAUACCUUUAGAUUUUAACGGAAGGCAUCUGGACGACGUCAAAAAAAGUGAAGUUCAGAUUGUGCACUAAAUAAGUGCACAAUUCAUUUUUUUAUGGAGGGUAUGUUUGGUAUGAUGGAAAAUGUUUUCUAGAAAAUAUUUUUCCAUUUUUUCAUGUUUGGUUAUAAAAAAAUUUUGAGAAAAUAUUUUUCAAGGUGACUUAUUUUUCAUCAUUUGAGGGAAAAUGACUUUCCUGAUAAGUCAAGGAAAGUCAUUUUCCAGAUAAAAAAUAUGAAGUCACACCCUCCCUGAUAGGAUUAUACCCCCGCCCCUCUUCUUCAUUGCACCCACAAGCAGAUCACGUCAUCUUCAAUUUUAGGGCUUUCUCCCUUCUCUCUCUCUUCUCCCCCAGUGCAAGAAUUUCUAAGGUAUGUUCAUAACUAAUUUUUUUUAUGGUGUUUGGUCAAAAAUUUCUUCAAUUUUUUUUCUUUUGCUUGUUUGGAUUUCUGAUUUGAGGCCAAUUUUAUUCAAAAAUUAAAAUUUGAAUUUCUUAUUUGAGUUCAAUUUUGCUCAAAAAUUGAAAUAUGGGUUAACUUAUCUAUGAAAAUUGAUAAGUUAUUGUGAGUUAGUUGAGCGAUUAGCAUUAGACUGAAGCUAUAUGAGUAUCUUAGUUUUAAUAAUUGACGCCAAUUUUAUGAAGUUGACUUGUGAAUAUUUCCAGUAACAAUAUUGUUUCCCAAAGAUGUGUUAAUGUUAUUGAAUUUGGACUAUUAAAAUCCCACAGAUCUUGAUUACAUUUAUGGUAAGUCGUGUUUUAUUUGUUAUAAUUUCAUUUGAAAAAUUAUCGGAGCUUUAGAGGCAUUAAUUUGUGAAGAACAAAAAGUUAACUUCUUUGCUGGUACAAAAAGAUCUAAACAGAGAGACAUGAAACACUUUGGAAUACGAUCCAUACAACCGUGUAAUGAAAUCUUGAGGAACACCAAAUACAGAUGCAUCUUUACUUUAGCACACUGGUGUAAGAUGACAAAUGUAUAUUGAAGUUGAUAUGAUAAAAUUCCUCUACUCCUUGCCUGUGUAGUGACGUUUUGAGAUUUUGCUUUUUUUAUCACACACCUCAAUGCACCUACUAGGUGUAGUUUAUAUAACACGUACCCGUAACCUUAUUUCCGAAAAAAAAAGAAGUUACUAGUGAAAGCAUGAAUUGGUUAUACCAAUUUGAUUUGUUUCGUGCCUUUCGUUGAUUGAGAAAAUGGAUCAAAUUUUACAUAAUCAAACUUAUGUAGCUUUACAAAAAAGUAAGAGUUGGUGAAAAUAAAAAGUGGUUUUACCAAUCUGAUUUAUUUGGUAACCUUUAUUCAGCAACAAAAUGCAUCAAAUUCUAACCUGAUUAAAUCUAAAAUCAUCUUCUAGUAGUAAUCAGGACAAAGUAUUAUUUCGUAACAAUAUCCUUUUUUUACUUUUUUUAAUUAACCUGGUAUCCGAACCAGCUUAUUCGUAUCUUAACUAAUGUCAUGGGAUACUUGGUACUAACUUAUUCUGAUUUACGGGUCUAAUCAUUGCUUAUUUUCCUCGCUGAGAUUCAAUUACCAACUCCAAUCUUUUGAAUAUAUUAGGACCUGGAAAUAGCUUUAGAUGAAAUUUAUAUGAGCAUCCAAUGAAGUGAGGUGUUUGUGACUUCCAGUAUUCGUAACCAAAAGACAAAAGAAUGUCCUGUUUGCAGGAUGUGAUGCUUCUAGAUUUAAACUGAGCAGUUUAAUUUAGCCCACUGUUGACUUUAAAAGAUGGUAAUUGUCAAAAAUUGCUGAAGAUAAUUUAGUGUGCUAUGUUUAGCUUAUAUGGCUUAUUUGAACUGAAAAGGAAACAAAUGAAUUUUCUUUUUUCUGCUACUAUACUAGUGUAUUAGAACAGCUGCAAUAUAUUCUGCCAUUCAAGAUCAUAUUUGGUGAUUGUUACUAUUUAUUCUCUAGCGAAUGAUUCUUUCUUCUCAUGAAUAUAAGUGGGGGUAACAUUGCAUGUUCAUUCGAUCGUUGCUACUAACCAGAUGCCCUGUAUUUGGUUCAACACUGACAAAGAGGCCAACACCUUGUAAAUUUCCAUCACUUCCUAUUCUAAAAGUUUGGUACUCGUGUAAAAAAUGUUCUCAGUGUCAUAUGAGAAUAUUAAUGUUAGUCAUACUAGGAAACUAGGGCAGACAUGGCACAAAGUCCUUGAAAAGGCUACUUCAACACUCACUUUAUUCUGAUACAACAUUAUGAACUACAACUUCCAAGAAAUGGUGUCCCUUUUUUAUCCUAACCAUGGGCGGAUUUAGAGGUAUAAGUGAGGGUUCUCGCGAACCCGGUCACUUUCGUGUGGAUCUCAUGAAUGAUUCUUUAUGAAGCUGUGAAGUGUUUAACAUUGAUUUUAUUUUUAAGCCCAACUGUUUAUGUUACAUUAAUAUAUUAGAAUCAAAUAAACUUGACACCAAAUUUUCUCUAAUCUUUGUAUUGUAGGCACUUUCCAAUCAUAACAAGUUCAUCAACAAAAAAAUUAAAAUGUUUGACGAAAUGUCUCUUGUGUGUGGAAAUGAUUAGGCUAGGGAAGAUUGUGCUAAAUCAUUCAAAGAUACAGAUUUUGAUAGUUUUUCUGAGAAAGAUAAUAAUAAUGACCUUGUAGGACCAUCCAUUGAAAAGGAUGUGCAAGUAAUCGAAACUUCUCAAAUCAAGGCAAGUCGCAAAAUAAAACAUUCUUUUGAGGUGCAAGAUGUUGUAGGUGAUAUAUCAAUAAAAUUUGGAGAAGUGGCAACGGCAAUCGAUAGAAUGGUUGAUAGUCGUCUAGAUGUGACAAAGUUGUAUGAAGAAGUUAUGGUAAUGGAAGGUUAUAAUGAAGAGUUCCUCGGUGAUGCUUUUGAUUAUUUGGUGCAAAGCGACACUUUAGCUAAGGCAUUCAUGGUCAAAAAUCAAAAUCUUCGUAAGGUGUGAUUGGGACGAUUCAAGCAACACCAAUAGUGACAUCUAUUGGUUGGUUUAGCUUCAUAGGAUUUGGAAGCAACUAUUAUGCACGCUUUUGUUUUUGAUAAUGUAUCAUGUUUUUGCUUCCAAACUUCUCUCCUUUCUUUUGUUUUUGAUAAUGUAUCGUGUAUUUGCUUUCAAAUUUAUCUCUUUUGUGCAUUUGUGGGAAUUGAUUAGGAAGCUUGAAUUAUGUAAGUAAUAGUUGCUUAAAUUUUAGAGUCUUGUAAUAUUUUGAUACUCGAUAUUGGUAUAAUUCGCUAUGGUUAAAUUAGUUCCGACAGAAUGUUGAGUUGCCUGAUAUACUAGUUAAUUGUUCAGCAGUAUUUUUCAAAAAUUAUUUUUUCUCUCACCAAUCAAACAACUAAAAACAUUUUUUAGAAAAAUAUUUUCCACCCACCAAUCAAAACAUGAGAAAAUAAGUAAAAAAUCAACUUAUUUUUCACGAAAAUAUUUUCCAUCAUACCAAACACAUCUAGAUUGUGCACUUAUUUAGUGCACAAUUCUUUUUAUUCAACAUUGUGCACUUAUUUAGUGCACAAUCUAUUUACUUAUAGAUAUACAUUUAUUUCACGGUCCAAUUUAAUUUUUUCUUAAAGAUUGUGCACUUUUUUAGUGCACAAUCCAUUUAUUUAUAGAUUGUGCACAAAAAAAUGCACAAUAUAUUAUUUUUCGAUUGUGCAUUUUUUUAACCACAUUCAGUGGAUAAAAGAUAAUCUUUAUAUGAUUUGGGUUAAGACCAGCUAUAAUGUAGGGAUUUUCUUUACCUCGUUUUCUAAUGUUUUGGCCGGCAAGGUGGCAGCUAUUUUGAGGAUGAGAAGCGCAGGAAAGAGUCCAUUUUGAAAUGAAUUCACUUUUUCUUAAGAAUUUGUAAGGAAAACAGAAAUUUCAAAGUUUUUGCUUGUUCAUUUCCUUGACACACAAUUAACUCCUUUGUAGAACUUGGACCAAUUCUCAGCAGACGAGAAUAAGGAUGCGGUUCGUGCUUUUGAACUCUCUCUUCAAGAAUCAAAGGGAAAAGAAACAUAUACAGGUGGUGAGGGUCAAUGAUGUGGUCUUUUCAUCUCGCCUUUUUAAGCUAAUUGUUGUUUCAGCAAAAAGUUUGUAUUUUCAACUCUAGCCACUACUUUCAAGAUUUUGGGACUUAGGCUAUCUUAUAUAUAGAUGUGGUCAUUUUUUCUGUUAGCUUUUGUGCAUAAUAUAUUAUUUUUGGAUUGUGCACUUUCUUUUUAGUACACUCCAUUCAUUUAUAGAAUGUGCAUAAAAAUGGACCAUAUAAAUAAAUAAAUUAUACACUAAAAAAAUACAUAAUAAAAAAUUAAUAUAUUGUGCACUUUUUUAGUGCACUCCAUUAACGAUAUAAAUAAAUGAAUUAUGCACUAAAAAACUACACAAUAAAAAAUUAAUAUAUUAUGCACUUUUUUAAUAUACAAUCUAUAAAUAAAUAAAUUAUACAAUAAAAAGUGUGCAAUUUUUUAAAAAAGUAAAUUCUCCAAUGAAAAUAAAUAUAUAUCUAUUAAUAAAUAAAUUAUAUACUAAAUAAGUACACAAUAUUGAAUAAAUAAGUGCACAAUCCAUAUAAAUUGUAUACUUAUAAAAGCCCAAUACCUCUUUUAAGGGCAUCAAUCUUCCAUUAAAAUCUAAAUGCCCAAUCUCAACUUCAACUUUUUUAAGGGCAUCAACCUUUUAUUAAAAUCUACAGAUAUUGUGCAAAGUGAUAAAGUCAAUUUUAAUACUUUUUUUACGACAUGGAUUGAUAUUUUUUUUAAUUUCGCAGCAUAUUUUAGUUCCGAACUGUGUUGUCAAAUAAUAAUAAGCCCCACAAAAAUAUGACAUACACACCUCACUCAUAAUAUAAAAAUUUACAGCCAAGCGAUGGUUAACUAAUUGAUAUUGGAAAAAGUACAGUUCCAUUCUGCCACAACAAAUCAAAGGUAAAAAGACCAAGAUUCCUCAAAGAUGACACAGGUUCCUCUCUGGUUAUUCCAUUACAUUUUAAACUAAACAAGAAGACCACUCCCGGCCAGAAAACUAAAUACUUCAAUGAUUCAACAAAAAACGAAACAGGCUGUCCUUUCUCCAGCAUCAAAGCCUCAAGCAACAGAAGCCAUGUGGCAGAUCAAAUCAAUCACUCGGGAGCUGCAUAAAUGAGAAAUAUUUGUGUUGUAAUCAAGAAUUGGCACCGUAAAAAAUUCCAAAGCUAGUGUGUGAAGAUGAGCAAAGAGAAGUUGAUGCACACUACCUGUAACCCCACUCGUUGUCAUACCAUGACACAAGUUUCACGAAUUUCUUGCUCAAGGCAAUUCCAGCCUUGGCAUCGAAAAUGCUCGACCUGAACCAAAAAUUAAAUUUCACAUUAGACCACACACAGUUCAAGAAUUAAGUGUACACCCCCUUCUGAGUAAACUGAACAAAAGCAUAUACCUGCUGUCACCAACAAAGUCCGUGGAAACAACAUCAUCUUCGGUGAAACCCAAGAUACCCUUCAACUUACCCUCUGAUUCCUCCCUAUGAGCAGAGAACACAGAAAUCAGUUUUGCUUCACAAGGAACCAACAAUAGAACAACACAAGUGAUCAAACAGACACUCACUUGAUUGCAGCCUUAAUGUCAUCAUAAGAGGCUUCUUUCUCUAGUCUUACAGUAAGAUCCACAACAGAUACAUCCACAGUUGGAACUCUAAAGGCCAUUCCAGUCAAUUUGCCAUUAAGGGCUGGG